This 585-nucleotide ribosomal RNA is filed under the name uncultured bacterium. Its description in RNAcentral is "bacterial SSU rRNA". It matches the Rfam family "Bacterial small subunit ribosomal RNA", at positions 338 to 916 of the family's 1533-position model. The record is from RNAcentral.
CCUACGGGAGGCAGCAGUGGGGAAUUUUGGACAAUGGGCGCAAGCCUGAUCCAGCAAUGCCGCGUGAGUGAAGAAGGCCUUCGGGUUGUAAAGCUCUUUUGUCAGGGAAGAAACGGCUGAGGAUAAUACCUUCGGCUAAUGACGGUACCUGAAGAAUAAGCACCGGCUAACUACGUGCCAGCAGCCGCGGUAAUACGUAGGGUGCAAGCGUUAAUCGGAAUUACUGGGCGUAAAGCGUGCGCAGGCGGUUUUGUAAGUCUGUCGUGAAAGCCCCGGGCUCAACCUGGGAAUUGCGAUGGAGACUGCAAGGCUUGAAUCUGGCAGAGGGGGGUAGAAUUCCACGUGUAGCAGUGAAAUGCGUAGAGAUGUGGAGGAACACCGAUGGCGAAGGCAGCCCCCUGGGUCAAGAUUGACGCUCAUGCACGAAAGCGUGGGGAGCAAACAGGAUUAGAUACCCUGGUAGUCCACGCCCUAAACGAUGUCUACUAGUUGUCGGGUUUUAAUUAACUUGGUAACGCAGCUAACGCGUGAAGUAGACCGCCUGGGGAGUACGGUCGCAAGAUUAAAACUCAAAGGAAUUGACGG